This 61-nucleotide transfer RNA is filed under the name Negha inflata. RNAcentral describes it as "tRNA-Cys". Lineage: Eukaryota; Metazoa; Arthropoda; Insecta; Raphidioptera; Inocelliidae. The record is from RNAcentral.
AGUUUUAUAGUCUAUAAAAGAUAUUAAAUUGCAAAUUUAAAGAAGCAAUAAGCUAAGACUU